RNAcentral lists this long non-coding RNA (852 nucleotides) under Homo sapiens (human). RNAcentral describes it as "epigenetically induced MYC interacting lncRNA 1". The record is from RNAcentral. Lineage: Eukaryota; Metazoa; Chordata; Mammalia; Primates; Hominidae.
GAGCCAGUUAUCCCUCAGAGCUCCUGCUGCCUCGCCCGCUUUCUCUCGGAAACGUGAAGUGUGGCCUCAGCUGAAAGUGAGGUGGGCCUCAUUCAAUCAGUUGAAUUCUUCAAGAGAGAAAAACUGAAGUCCCUUAGAAGGAAAGAGUUCUGCCUUCAGACUGUCUUUGAACUUAAGACUGUAGCGUCGACUCCUGCCGGAAUUUCCAGCCUGCUGGCCAGCUCUGCAGAUUCACACUUGCCAGCCUCCACAAUCGACACAGCAGGAAGGCAGCCAUCUGUGAGCCAGAAAGUGAGCCCUCACCUGAUGGCCAAGCCUGCUGAUGCUUUGGUUUUGGACUUUCCAGCCUCCAGAAUGGUGAGAAGUGAAUUUCCGCUGUUUAAACUCCCCAGUUUGUAUUGUCUUAUUGUAGCAGACUCAACUGAUUAAGACAGGACUCUAGGGGAGAAGAAGAAAGAUGGCGCAGAUAAAAGUGAGGGAAGGAAGAAGGGAAAGCAGAUCUUCGGAAGAAAGAGGCCGUAAUUUUGGACACUGGAUGUUAACCUUAGAAGAGGAAGCCCUGGGACUGUGAAGCCACAGAGGCACUCUGACCCACUCUUUCUUUCGAAUAAUACUGGAAAAUCAUCUCACUUAAACUAGCAAUAAAAGCUUGUGACUAAAUGCAAAGUUAGUAUAAAAAAAGGAACAAUUAGCAUAAUAAUAUCCCUACAGACACUAAGGCACAACAGAAAGAUAUGGUCACAAUAAACCAAAAACUUUAAUCUUUCAAAAACAAUAUGUUGUUCUUUUACAAAUAACAGAAUUUGUGAAAGAAUAGCAUCUAUCAGAAUUAAAAUAACACAUAAAUAAGGU